CGCUUGUUUAACAAAAACAUGUCUUUAUUGAAAAUAAUUUAAAGUCUGACCUGCCCAUUGAUUUAAUAAUUUAAAGGCCGCGGUAUUUUGACCGUGCAAAGGUAGCAUAAUCAUUAGUUUUUUAAUUGUGAACUGGUAUGAAUGGUUGGACAAGAUAUUAGCUGUCUCAUAAUGAUAUUUUGAAUUUUACUUUUUAGUGAAAAGGCUUAAAUUUUUUUGUAGGACGAGAAGACCCUAUAGAUUUUUAUAUUUAAUUUUUAUUAUAAAUUUUGGUUAAUAUUAUUUAUAUUUUGAAUUAUUAUUUGAUUGGGGUGAUUAGAAGAUUUAAUUAACUCUUCAUAUUUAUAUACAAUAAUUAUUGAAUUAUUGAUCCAUUUUUAAUGAUUAUAAGAACAAAUUACCUUAGGGAUAACAGCGUUAUCUUUUUUGAGAGUUGAUAUCUACAAAAAGGAUUGCGACCUCGAUGUUGGAUUAAA
This 476-nucleotide ribosomal RNA is filed under the name Praedatophasma maraisi. RNAcentral describes it as "partial 16S large subunit ribosomal RNA". It matches the Rfam family "Bacterial large subunit ribosomal RNA", at positions 1797 to 2541 of the family's 2925-position model. Lineage: Eukaryota; Metazoa; Arthropoda; Insecta; Mantophasmatodea; Mantophasmatidae. The record is from RNAcentral.